CCUACGGGCGGCAGCAGUGGGGAAUAUUGGGCAAUGGGCGCAAGCCUGACCCAGCAACGCCGCGUGAAGGAAGAAGGCUUUCGGGUUGUAAACUUCUUUUCUCAGGGACGAAGCUAGUGAAGGUACCUGAGGAAUAAGCCGCGGCUAACAACGUGCCAGCAGCCGCGGUAAUACGUAGGCGGCAAGCGUUAUCCGGAUGUACUGGGUGUAAGGGGCGUGUAGUCGGGACUGCAAGUCAGAUGUGAAAACCAUGGGCUCAACCGGUGGCCUGCAUUUGAUACUGUAGUUCUUGUGUACUGGAGAGGCAGACGGAAUUCCUGGUGUAGCGGUGAAAUGCGUAGAUAUGAGGAGGAACACCAGUGGCGAAGGCGGUCUGCUGGACAGCAACUGACGCUGAGGCGCGAAAGCGUGGGGAGCAAACAGGAUUAGAUACCCUAGUAGUC
This 443-nucleotide ribosomal RNA is filed under the name uncultured bacterium. RNAcentral's name for it is "partial 16S ribosomal RNA". It matches the Rfam family "Bacterial small subunit ribosomal RNA", at positions 338 to 795 of the family's 1533-position model. The record is from RNAcentral.